GACGAACGCUGGCGGCGUGCCUAAUACAUGCAAGUCGAACGCUUUUUCUUUCACCGGAGCUUGCUCCACCGAAAGAAAAAGAGUGGCGAACGGGUGAGUAACACGUGGGUAACCUGCCCAUCAGAAGGGGAUAACACUUGGAAACAGGUGCUAAUACCGUAUAACACUAUUUUCCGCAUGGAAGAAAGUUGAAAGGCGCUUUUGCGUCACUGAUGGAGGGACCCGCGGUGCAUUAGCUAGUUGGUGAGGUAACGGCUAACCAAGGCAACGAUGCAUAGCCGACCUGAGAGGGUGAUCGGCCACACUGGGACUGAGACACGGCCCAGACUCCUACGGGAGGCAGCAGUAGGGAAUCUUCGGCAAUGGACGAAAGUCUGACCGAGCAACGCCGCGUGAGUGAAGAAGGUUUUCGGAUCGUAAAACUCUGUUGUUAGAGAAGAACAAGGAUGAGAGUAAAACGUUCAUCCCUUGACGGUAUCUAACCAGAAAGCCACGGCUAACUACGUGCCAGCCGCCGCGGUAA
Molecule: ribosomal RNA, 523 nt
Filed under: uncultured bacterium
Lineage: Bacteria
Description: partial 16S ribosomal RNA
Rfam family: Bacterial small subunit ribosomal RNA
Source: RNAcentral